AGCCACAGGUACGCUGCCACU
This 21-nucleotide microRNA is filed under the name Oryctolagus cuniculus (rabbit). RNAcentral describes it as "ocu-miR-449b-3p". Its record names the gene ocu-miR-449b-3p. Lineage: Eukaryota; Metazoa; Chordata; Mammalia; Lagomorpha; Leporidae. The record is from miRBase by way of RNAcentral.